This 384-nucleotide unclassified non-coding RNA is filed under the name uncultured Phycisphaerae bacterium. Its description in RNAcentral is "contains 16S-23S intergenic spacer region". Lineage: Bacteria; Pseudomonadati; Planctomycetota; Phycisphaerae. The record is from RNAcentral.
UCCGGUUUAACACCGGCAGUCUCGCUAAAGUGCCCGCCAUUACGCGCUGGCAACUAGCGACAAGGGUUUCGCUCGUUAAGGGACUUAACCCGACACUUCACAGCACGAGCUGACGACAGCCAUGCAGCACCUGUGCUAGUUCCACGGCAAGCCGCGUCAUUCUGCUUUCACAGAACUAAUACUAGCAUGUCAAACCCGGGUAAGGUUCUUCGCGUUGCUUCGAAUUGAGCCACAUCCUCCACCGCUUGUGUGAGCCCCCGUCAAUUCCUUUGAGUUUUAGCCUUGCGGCCGUACUCCCCAGGCGGCGUACUUAACGCUUUUGUUUCGGCCCGCCGCACGUCAGAGUGCGACUAACCUAGUACGCAUCGUUUACGGCGUGGACUA